GGAGACCGAUAGCGAACAAGUACCGUGAGGGAAAGAUGACAAGCACUUUGAAAAGAGGGUGAAAAGAGCCUGAAACCGUCACGGGGGAAGCGGAUCGCGUUGGAUUGAUGGGCGCUUGCGUGUUCAGCCCUUUGGGUGCAUUGGCGCAAGUUGCUUAUCCGCUGUGAGUUUUCGGGGGUCGAUUUUGGACCCCUGGGGACUGAGGGCUCCCUUUUAGAGGUGAGGACAGCGGAGUGACGACGCGAUACGACCCGUCUUGAAACACGGACCAAGGAGUCUAGCGCGGGUGCGAGUCGGAGGGUGCAAGCCCGUGGGCGAAGUGAAAGCGAGUGUAAAAACGAGCAGUUUGGGGCGGCAUAAGAUCGUUGAUCUUAAGACCGACCCAGAGCAGUUGCGCUGGGACCCGAAAGAUGGUGAACUAUGCCGGAGUAGGGCAAAGCCAGAGGAAACUCUGGUGGAGGCUCGUAGCGGUGCUGACGUGCAAAUCGCUCGUCGAACUUGGGUAUAGGGGCGAAAGACUAAUCGAACCAUCUAGUAGCUGGUUCCCUCCGAAGUUUCUCUCAGGAUAGCGGGCCGACAAGUUGUUUUGUGCGGUAAAGCGAAUGAUUAGCGCAUUUCGGGGGCGUUUAGCCUUUGGGCGAUUCUCAAACUUUCAAUGCGCAAGGGUGCCGCUGCUUAAUUGAGCGGUACCGGUAAAAACGUCGGCCCUGUGGGCCACUUUUGGUAAGCAGAACUGGCGAUACGGGAUGAACCGUAAGCAUGGU
This 764-nucleotide ribosomal RNA is filed under the name Chondrus crispus (carragheen). RNAcentral's name for it is "eukaryotic LSU rRNA". It matches the Rfam family "Eukaryotic large subunit ribosomal RNA", at positions 329 to 1180 of the family's 3401-position model. The record is from RNAcentral. Lineage: Eukaryota; Rhodophyta; Florideophyceae; Gigartinales; Gigartinaceae.